CUAUAAGGGACCGAUGAAAUUAUGCUCCGUCCACCCUGAUCUGCGUCCCCCGCUGAGAGUCUCGGCAUGCAGUGCACCCACAGAUUUGUACCCAAAAUUUCCACUCUGUACAAAUCGACGACUCAAAAUACUUCUAGCAGAUCUACAACUCCAUCCAACGGAUCGGAAUCGUCUGCUUCAACGCGUUGAAGCGCCCACGCCCGCCCCGUCGUCCGCGCGGCUCCAAUUCCGAAUCCCCCCACCCUCCGUCCGCCUCGGUUCGAAACGACGCCCACCAAACUCGCGAGAGAAAAAAAAGGCCCGCUUCCUCCGUCUCCGCCUCCGUCGGCUGGGCACACCGCCGCCGCCUCCGCCUCUGCCGGCUGGGCACACCGCCGCCGCCUCCGCCUCUGCCGGCUGGGCACACCGCCGCCGCCUCCUCCUCUGCCGGCCGGGCGCGCCGCCGGCGCCUCCUCCUCCGCCGGCGCCUCCCCCAUCCCUCCGCCCUCCCCCGCCCCUAUCUCUGCACCGCGCGCUGCCGCAGUCGCUGCCGCAGAUCCGGCCACCGCCGCUGCGCCUCCCUGCCUCCCAACGACCACCGGAGUUCCACGUGCCGACGGGAUGCGCAGCGUCAGGCCCCGACACGCCAAACCCUAGAUCUGCGUGGGCGCAACGGCGACAGCGGCAACGCGAAACACAGGGCGACAGGCCGACGGCGUGGAGCAAGCGACGAGGCAGGGCGACGGCGCGGAUCUCGACGGCCCCGGCUGGCGGCGAGCUCGGCUCGCCUCCGGUGCGGCCCGCACCUCCAUCCUCCCUCCUCCCAGUCCCAGGCCGUGAACGAGCCGGCCGCCGCACCCGCGAUCUGGGACCUACUCCCAGUCCCAGGCAUCCUCCUUCGAUGCGUCCGGUGGAAGACGGUGCCACCGAUUCGGAUCUUGCUGCCCCUGCCCAUCUACACUGCGCUCCGAGAGCUCAAAAUCUAUUAAAUCUGAACCUGUUGCUGGUCCUCAAUCAAGGUGUGGCUCUCUGCCAGCUGCCAUGCUGUUGUUGCUGCUCUCUACUUGCCGACACAACCAAGGUGAGUUUGGAAAAUACAGAAUGUAUUUCCAGGUAGCAAAAGAAGGAACCGAAUUACAGUUACCAUGUAGUAUUUCAAUAUCACUGCAUCAGCCAUUCUAUUCUCAAUCAAUCUGAACUUCAGCAUUACUUGUAUGGGAUCCGCCGAUUAUUGUGUGACCAGAGCUUACAGUCGUAUGAACAGAGCUAUAUGUUGAUUUCAGGCUUGCUUCAUCAAACUGAAAGAUGCUGCGUGAGAUACUGACAUUUAUUUGUGCUGUUGUUGAUACUGACAACAAAAUUCAUACCAAGCAAAAAAUAACUAAAAAUAUUUGGAUUGCAUUUCGUAGGAAUUUUCUGGUGGAUAUCACCCUAAACUUUGUGAUUCAGAAUAAUCCCAUGUGCUGUUGCUGAGUAUAUCAAGUGGGACCUGGGUCCAGGGCUCAAUCUCAGUGAGGCAUUUAGAGCGUUCUUCUGGAGCGCAUGUCUUGGGUUGGCAUUUAGCAAAAAGCUGGAAGCUUUGCUUUCUUUAAGCCUAGAUUUACUUAGCAUAUACUAUGUAUCUUUACUCAAUGUGUAUGAGCCUGUGUUUUUUUGUUGCUUGUUUUUGUCACUAGAACUGGAAUCUCAACGUGUCACUCUUAUAUUCUUGCUGAAUUCUGUUGCAUCUCAUGGAACAAGCAAGUCUUGAUGGACCUUGGCGUCAUGUUUAUUGAAACCAGUGCUAAAGCUGGAUGUAACAUUAAGAUAUGCUUCAGAAUAUAAACUGCUUACAUGUCUCCUUUCAGAGUAGUGUGUUUUUGUUUAGGAAGGCCUUUAUUUUUCUGCCAGUCACUGACCAUCACAAACUUGUGAGCAUGUGCUGUUCUGUAAAAUUGCUGCUGCACUUCUGGAAUGGAGACACUCUCAUCAGCGAAGCAGGAAGGCAUGGUUGAUGUGAACUUGAGGUCCGGCAAUGCAAACUCGUCCCAUUCUCAGAUUUGGAAUUUGCAAACAGCGGAAGAAAUAUGUUCACAAAGUGGUUUCUCUGAAUUUUUGUUGAAUUUGCGGAAACAUGUUGAUUUUACUAGCUGCCUGUGGAAUGUAGAGUACUCCAAGUGCCAUGGUAAGUUGGUGAGGCACAAGGUGGAGAAGAAAUAUGUGCUCAAGAAGAUACGAGUUGUGCAACCAACGGACCGAUAUGAGUUGUGUGGAAAUGUUCUUGCAGAUGCAGCUUAUUGCGACAGUCAGGAAUCCAUUUAUCGUGGAGUACAAAGAUUCGUGGGUGAAAAAGGUAGCCAGAGGGUCAAAACAAAGUUAUUAAAUGAGGCUUCUGGUGCAGAAAAUUCUGAUGAAACAUGUGAAAGUUUUGCUUUUGCAUUAGUCAAUGGUGCUCUUGGUGUGUUUGAAGUUCAUGGGUGCCGGAUACGAGAUUUUAUGUAUUUCAAUUGCUGUCUUUGUAGCUUUCAACUAUUAAAGUAUAAUCAAAUGCAGAAUUGGUGAAUUUAUCAACAUAUCCCAUUGACAUCUAAAUUGAAAUGCAAGCUUCUGCAUAUUUCUUC
Panicum virgatum (switchgrass) is the source of this 2579-nucleotide RNA transcript. RefSeq lists it as uncharacterized. The record is from RefSeq and is a predicted model, not a curated record. The transcript has 5 exons. NCBI's taxonomy places the organism in Eukaryota, Viridiplantae, Streptophyta, Magnoliopsida, Poales, Poaceae.